RNAcentral lists this ribosomal RNA (330 nucleotides) under Triticum aestivum (bread wheat). RNAcentral's name for it is "partial small subunit ribosomal RNA". The record is from RNAcentral. Lineage: Eukaryota; Viridiplantae; Streptophyta; Magnoliopsida; Poales; Poaceae.
CAUCGUCGGCAACAUGGAGGCGAGUCACCGACGAGUUGCGGCACCGGUGGCGAACUUGAAGGUGAGUCGCCGGUGAGUUGUGUCACCGGUGACGAACAUGGAGGCGAGUCAUCGGCGAGUUGCGGCACCGGUGGCAAACAUGCGGCAGCGAGCGUGCCAUGGCAGUGCGCUCAUGGUGAAGGAGUACCAGGUGCGGCUCUCGCCGAAGCUAGCGCGACGGCGGCAAUCGGCGUGACAAGAUGGUAUUGGCGGCCGUCUCCGCGGUGCACCGACGACAUCGACGACCAUGAGCUUCAAGAGAGAAAUAAGUUAACAAGAUUAGGGAGGUGA